This 85-nucleotide transfer RNA is filed under the name Candidatus Curtissbacteria bacterium. RNAcentral describes it as "tRNA-Ser". It matches the Rfam family "tRNA". Rfam says of the family: Transfer RNA (tRNA) molecules are approximately 80 nucleotides in length. Their secondary structure includes four short double-helical elements and three loops (D, anti-codon, and T loops). Lineage: Bacteria; Candidatus Curtissiibacteriota. The record is from RNAcentral.
GGAGAGGUCGCAUAGUGGGCUAGUGCGUUCGUCCUGAAAACGAAUGUAGCGCAAGCUACCGUGGGUUCGAAUCCCACCCUCUCCG